CCUACGGGAGGCAGCAGUGAGGAAUAUUGGUCAAUGGACGAGAGUCUGAACCAGCCAAGUAGCGUGAAGGAUGACUGCCCUAUGGGUUGUAAACUUCUUUUAUAUGGGAAUAAAACGUUCCACGUGUGGGAUUUUGUAUGUACCAUAUGAAUAAGGAUCGGCUAACUCCGUGCCAGCAGCCGCGGUAAUACGGAGGAUCCGAGCGUUAUCCGGAUUUAUUGGGUUUAAAGGGAGAGUAGGUGGAUUGUUAAGUAAGUUGUGAAAGUUUGCGGCUCAACCGUAAAAUUGCAGUUGAAACUGGCAGUCUUGAGUACAGUAGAGGUGGGCGGAAUUCGUGGUGUAGCGGUGAAAUGCUUAGAUAUCACGAAGAACUCCGAUUGCGAAGGCAGUUCACUGGACUGCAACUGACACUGAGGCUCGAAAGUGUGGGUAUCAAACAGGAUUAGAUACCCGAGUAGUC
This 460-nucleotide ribosomal RNA is filed under the name uncultured bacterium. RNAcentral's name for it is "partial 16S ribosomal RNA". It matches the Rfam family "Bacterial small subunit ribosomal RNA", at positions 338 to 795 of the family's 1533-position model. The record is from RNAcentral.